Molecule: ribosomal RNA, 510 nt
Filed under: uncultured bacterium
Lineage: Bacteria
Description: partial 16S ribosomal RNA
Rfam family: Bacterial small subunit ribosomal RNA
Source: RNAcentral
GACGAACGCUGGCGGCGUGCUUAACACAUGCAAGUCGAACGAAGAGCGAUGGAAGCUUGCUUCUAUCAAUCUUAGUGGCGAACGGGUGAGUAACGCGUAAUCGACCUGCCCUUCAGAGGGGGACAACAGUUGGAAACGACUGCUAAUACCGCAUACGAUCUAAUCUCGGCAUCGAGGAUAGAUGAAAGGUGGCCUCUACAUGUAAGCUAUCACUGAAGGAGGGGAUUGCGUCUGAUUAGCUAGUUGGAGGGGUAACGGCCCACCAAGGCGAUGAUCAGUAGCCGGUCUGAGAGGAUGAACGGCCACAUUGGGAAUGAGACACGGCCCAGACUCCUACGGGAGGCAGCAGUGGGGAAUCUUCCGCAAUGGACGAAAGUCUGACGGAGCAACGCCGCGUGAGUGAUGACGGCCUUCGGGUUGUAAAGCUCUGUUAAUCGGGACGAAAGGCCUUCUUGCGAAUAGUGAGAAGGAUUGACGGUACCGGAAUAGAAAGCCACGGCUAACUACGUG